This 518-nucleotide ribosomal RNA is filed under the name uncultured bacterium. Its description in RNAcentral is "bacterial SSU rRNA". It matches the Rfam family "Bacterial small subunit ribosomal RNA", at positions 209 to 716 of the family's 1533-position model. The record is from RNAcentral.
AAGCUCCUGCUUCUGGAUGAGCCCGCGUCCCAUCAGCUAGUUGGUAGGGUAAUGGCCUACCAAGGCUACGACGGGUAGCUGGUCUAAGAGGAUGGCCAGCCACACUGGAACUGAGACACGGUCCAGACUCCUACGGGAGGCAGCAGUGGGGAAUCUUGCGCAAGUGGGCGAAAGCCUGACGCAGCGACGCCGCGUGGGUGACGAAGGCCUUCGGGUUGUAAAGCCCUGUGGGGUAGAACGAACUGGCAUCGGGCUAAUAUCCCCGGUGUCUUGACGGUACUGCCUUAGCAAGCAUCGGCUAACUCUGUGCCAGCAGCCGCGGUAAGACAGAGGAUGCGAACGUUGCUCGGAUUUACUGGGCGUAAAGCGCGUGUAGGCGGUCUCGUUAGUCGGGUGUGAAAGCCCCGGGCUCAACCCGGGAAGUGCACCCGAUACUGCGAGACUGGGGUACUGAAGAGGAGAGCGGAAUUCCCGGUGUAGAGGUGAAAUUCGUAGAUAUCGGGAGGAACACCAGUGGC